CUUGACGACCAUAGAGCGUUGGAACCACCUGAUCCCAUCCCGAACUCAGUAGUGAAACGACGCAUCGCCGAUGGUCGCCGAUGGUAGUGUGGAGUUUCUCCAUGUGAGAGUAGGUCAUCGUCAAGC
This 126-nucleotide ribosomal RNA is filed under the name Pseudomonas sp. T. Lineage: Bacteria; Pseudomonadati; Pseudomonadota; Gammaproteobacteria; Pseudomonadales; Pseudomonadaceae. The record is from RNAcentral.